CUGCCUGCCCAGUGACCAAAAGUUAAACGGCCGCGGUAUCUUGACCGUGCGAAGGUAGCAUAAUCACUUGUCUCCUAAAUAGAGACUGGUAUGAAUGGCAAGACGGAACCUCACUGUCUCUUUUUCUCUAAUUUUAAUUUCACAAUCCCGUGAAGAGGCGGGAAUUCAAUCGUAAGACGAGAAGACCCUGUCGAGCUGCAGUGAAGUCUUAACUGUUAUUUACCUUUAACUCUAACUAAUAAAAUGAAACUAGUAAAGGUAUUAAGGCAUAGCAAAUCAGGACCAACUUUGAUUGGGGCAAUCACGGAGAAAGUAAAUCCUCCGCUACUAAAAAGUUACAUCAUAGUAACCUAAACUAAAAGACUUACUAAUCUAAGCUCACAAAAUGAAGGUAUGAUCCACUCACAGUGAUCAAAGGAACAAGUUACCGCAGGGAUAACAGCGUUAUCUUUUCUGAGAGUUCAUAUUGACGAAAAGGUUUGCGACCUCGAUGUUGGAUCGGGACAUCCUAAGGGUGCAGAAGCUUUUAAGGGUUGGUCUGUUCGACCAUUAAAGUCCUACGUGAUCUGAGUUCAGACCGGCGAGAGCCAG
RNAcentral lists this ribosomal RNA (591 nucleotides) under Brissus obesus. Its description in RNAcentral is "partial 16S ribosomal RNA". It matches the Rfam family "Bacterial large subunit ribosomal RNA", at positions 1854 to 2629 of the family's 2925-position model. The record is from RNAcentral. Lineage: Eukaryota; Metazoa; Echinodermata; Echinoidea; Spatangoida; Brissidae.